CUUCCCAGCCCUCUUGUUAUUUAAGAGAUGGGCCUCUUUGCCUCCCAGGCCCCAGCCUAGAACUGGAGGUGGAAUCCUGAUGGAGUAUCCGUGGCUCUUCUGUCCCCAGGAAAAGGCAAACACUCUCCCGUGGCUCCACCGUGGGAACGUUCAGAAAACAAAAUGCCUGAAGCCCGCAUUCACCCCUGGAGUGGGAGUGGAAGGGGGGAGAGAAUGUGCUGAUGAAGCUCAUUAAAAAGAAAACAAAGCCAGAGCCACCCACCAUCCAGAAGAAUCCAGGGGCUGGUCCUGGGCAAACUAGACAUCUGUGCGGGCAGUCAGAAACCACGAGGUCAUCGGCAUCUCCUGGACACAGCUUGGUGCACCUGUGCCCCGGGGCUGCCCCUGCCCCCCAGCUGAGCCUGCGGGAGGGCGGGAAAGUGCCCCAGCCCAGUGAGCACCUUGAACAUGGUGGUGACAUGGAGGUGGGUUUGACCUUUUCUUGUUUGUUCCCUGGUCACAUGGUUUUUUUUUUACAUAUUCAAGCCCAGGGUGUGUUUAUAAUUUGGACUCGUGCUAUUUGAAGUCCUAAUAUAUCAUAAAUAUAUCCUGUCAUUAAACUCUUUGCAAGA
Molecule: long non-coding RNA, 611 nt
Organism: Lynx canadensis (Canada lynx)
Lineage: Eukaryota; Metazoa; Chordata; Mammalia; Carnivora; Felidae
Exons: 2
Source: RefSeq, a predicted model, not a curated record